This 468-nucleotide ribosomal RNA is filed under the name uncultured bacterium. Its description in RNAcentral is "partial 16S ribosomal RNA". It matches the Rfam family "Bacterial small subunit ribosomal RNA", at positions 28 to 507 of the family's 1533-position model. The record is from RNAcentral.
GACGAACGCUGGCGGCGUGCUUAACACAUGCCAGUCGAACGGAAAGGCCCUGCUUUUGUGGGGUGCUCGAGUGGCGAACGGGUGAGUAACACGUGAGUAACCUGCCCUUGACUUUGGGAUAACUUCAGGAAACUGGGGCUAAUACCGGAUAGGAGCUCCUGCUGCAUGGUGGGGGUUGGAAAGUUUCGGCGGUUGGGGAUGGACUCGCGGCUUAUCAGCUUGUUGGUGGGGUAGUGGCUUACCAAGGCUUUGACGGGUAGCCGGCCUGAGAGGGUGACCGGCCACAUUGGGACUGAGAUACGGCCCAGACUCCUACGGGAGGCAGCAGUGGGGAAUAAUGCACAAUGGGCGGAAGCCUGAUGCAGCAACGCCGCGUGCGGGAUGACGGCCUUCGGGUUGUAAACCGCUUUCGCCUGUGACGAAGCGUGAGUGACGGUAAUGGGUAAAGAAGCACCGGCUAACUACGUG